RNAcentral lists this ribosomal RNA (497 nucleotides) under uncultured bacterium. RNAcentral's name for it is "partial 16S ribosomal RNA". It matches the Rfam family "Bacterial small subunit ribosomal RNA", at positions 28 to 507 of the family's 1533-position model. The record is from RNAcentral.
GAUGAACGCUGGCGGCGUGCCUAAUACAUGCAAGACGAGCGAACAGACGAGGAGCUUGCUCCUCUGACGUUAGCGGCGGACGGGUGAGUAACACGUGGAUAACCUACCUAUAAGACUGGGAUAACUUCGGGAAACCGGAGCUAAUACCGGAUAAUAUAUUGAACCGCAUGGUUCAAUAGUGAAAGACGGUUUUGCUGUCACUUAUAGAUGGAUCCGCGCCGCAUUAGCUAGUUGGUAAGGUAACGGCUUACCAAGGCAACGAUGCGUAGCCGACCUGAGAGGGUGAUCGGCCACACUGGAACUGAGACACGGUCCAGACUCCUACGGGAGGCAACAGUAGGGAAUCUUCCGCAAUGGGCGAAAGCUUGACGGAGCAACGCCGCGUGAGUGAUGAAGGUCUUCGGAUCGUAAAACUCUGUUAUUAGGGAAGAACAAAUGUGUAAGUAACUAUGCACGUCUUGACGGUACCUAAUCAGAAAGCCACGGCUAACUACGUG